CUCAUAUAUAUUCUCAACAACGUGGACUCACGUAUGUUAACUAAAAAUUUCCGCAACAACGUGUGGGACAUCAUCCAGUUAGUUAAGUGUCGCCUCCUUCUAGACCCAAAACACCAUCAAACACCAAACCUAAACUAGCUGUUGAUUUUGUCUGUACUACUAGUACUAGCUAAAUGCUCGUUCCACAGUAGCCUUUUAAUUACUGCAUAUGCUAUUUAAAUGCUAUGUUUUGCAUCACUGUAGCCCUAACUUUGUUUACAUUUUAGAAAAUCAUCUGAAAAUAUACAUCAAUUAAAUCAAAUAGUCUUAUAGUCAAAUCAAAGAUCGUAAUGCAUAUGUCUUGCAUAGAGGAGAAACAUUACCAUCAUCAACUCAAAUAUUACAUGAGAAUAUUCCAUGGAAAAUGCUUUUACAGUUUCUACUAUACUGGUAUAUGGUUUGAAGAUGUAAACUUAAAACACGUCGUAUAGGGUACUCUUUGGUACACUCUGGUGUGCAUAAAGCAUUUAUUCUCAUUUCUCAAUCAAUCAGCCAUUGAUUGCCACUGAUCGCCGCGUGAUCCCUAUGGUACUUCCUAGACGUGGCCACGGUGGUCCGGCCGCAAGUCGCACCAGUACAAAGCCAACGUGGCUAGGAAGCAUGCCGUAGAACGUAGGCAGCUGACGUUGUUCGCUCUUCGCUGGUCCGGGGACUCACGUCAGUUGCGAUCCACGUUUCACGUUUCGGAAGUCCGUCUACUUUGGUAACAGUUCGGCCACGGCAGGCUUGCCCAUCAGCCGACAGCAGCCAGCGUCUCUCGUGGCUGUCCCGGACUCCCGGUGCUUCUGGGCUGAGUGCUACAACAAACUAACGAUUUGUAUUAGUGCAAAAUUUUAGCGACCUCAAAGGAAAAAAAAAUGUCCCCUAGAAAGCCAACUUUGGCAAAAAAAAAAAAGAACAUAUAAUCAGUUGUACGUGGAUUUGACAAGAUUAUGUAUAAAGAUAUCUUGCCGAUCCUUCCUUUCCUUUAGAUUAUUUUCAGGUCAAUCACUCAAGAAUAAGAUAUGCAUGGUCCUUGAUGGCAGAAACCAAAUCGGUCUAGUACCACAAGGAUAUUUUUCUCCUUGUUAACGUCGUUCUUGUCCGUGGGGUCACCAUUCGUUGAGAAGUCGUGAUGCGUAUGCACACCAGGAUGAUGCUCACCUUAUCGAUCGAUCUCGGCAUGCAGACGACGCCAUGGAAUUCCGGUGCUCAUCUUGAGCUGGUCCACGGCAAAAGGUUGCCACCAAACAAGAAUGUCUCUGAAGGGAACAUUUGCUCUGUUUUCCAGGAUAAUUUGCUCCUCGCAUGGAUAUGCUUAGAGCUUACAAAAAUAUAUGUUGUCAUCUUCUUUUAUUACUCUCGGAUUUGGCGGGGAUAAGUGCCGGGAAGAUAUUUCUUUUCGUGACUUGCAUCCGGCCGGUCACGUCACGCAAAUCUUUUUUCAUUCAUUCG
RNAcentral lists this long non-coding RNA (1473 nucleotides) under Brachypodium distachyon (stiff brome). RNAcentral's name for it is "long non-coding RNA (BDIS_LNC004018)". Lineage: Eukaryota; Viridiplantae; Streptophyta; Magnoliopsida; Poales; Poaceae. The record is from RNAcentral.